Molecule: unclassified non-coding RNA, 200 nt
Filed under: Arachnopeziza sp.
Lineage: Eukaryota; Fungi; Ascomycota; Leotiomycetes; Helotiales; Arachnopezizaceae
Description: partial internal transcribed spacer 2
Source: RNAcentral
UUAAGUUCAGCGGGUAUCCCUACCUGAUCCGAGGUCAACCUAAGAAAGUUGGGGUUUUGGCGGGUGGGUCUAGGACUCAAGAGCGAAAUAAUUACUGCGCUGAGAGCCUAUAGCACUGCCACUGCGUUUAAGGGAUGCCAUACGGCAAGCCCCAAUACCACUUGCGUGAUUGGUCAUAAUGACGCUCGAACAGGCAUGCC